Vigna unguiculata (cowpea) is the source of this 6104-nucleotide unclassified non-coding RNA. NCBI's taxonomy places the organism in Eukaryota, Viridiplantae, Streptophyta, Magnoliopsida, Fabales, Fabaceae. The record is from RefSeq and is a predicted model, not a curated record.
UUAGGUCCCAUACUCAUUGUGCCGAAAGCCAUUCUUACAAAAACAAAAACAAAAACAACAACAAAAUCUACUAUUCUCUCUCUUCCUCUUCCUUCUCCCUGCGACCGCCUCGAAUCGCAAUUCCUGCAACUCCUUCACUCUCAGAUUCUCCUCCAUCCUCUCCCGAUUCUUCUCUGCGCUCCGCCGUGUGCCGCCUCUCCCUCCGCCGUCGCUGAAACCCGUGCAAGAUCCCCGCGGCGCUUCCGCGGGACUUCUCUAGGGUUUUCUGAUCUUUCGUUCCUAUCCUUCUUCCAGGACGUCGUUUUUCAAUUGCGCUCACUCUGUGUAGCGUCCACGAGCCGUCAUGGCUCCCGGGCGUCGACGCGGAGCGAACAAAGCCAAGGCAAAUGGCCACUUGAGUCUGGGCGAUCUUGUGCUUGCUAAGGUCAAGGGCUUCCCCGCGUGGCCUGCUAAGAUAAGCAGGCCUGAGGAUUGGGAGAAAAUCCCUGAUCCAAAGAAAUAUUUUGUUCAAUUCUUUGGUACAAAAGAAAUUGCCUUUGUUGCACCAGCAGAUAUUCAGGCAUUUACCAGUGAGGCUAAAAAUAAGCUGUCAGCUCGUCUUCAAGGCAAGACUAAGUACUUUGCCCAAGCUGUGAAGGAAAUAUGUGCAGCAUUUGAUGAGAUGCAGAAACAGAAGGCUAGUGGUUUGACAGAUGACACUGAUGAUUCUCGUAUUGGUUCAGAGGCUCCUUCUAAUGAUGGGGUAGUAGUUAACCUUAAGGAUGCAAUUGACACUGUGUUAUCAAAUGCAGAACAAGAUAACAUUGAUAUGGAGAAUAUUGAUUCUAAUCUAGAGCACUGUACACCGAGAGUAGGGGAAAAUGACAGCCAAGAUGAAAAACACUCUGUAUCUGACCAUCCAAACGAAAGUUCUUCUGUUUCAUCGCCAGUGAUCAAAAGCAAAUUAUCCAUGGGUUCAGAGCCAAAGAAGAAUGCUAACAAAUCAAGUCUUAAAGUUGCUAGUAAUGUUAAUGAUUUUGGGCAAGAUGAUAACAGACAUAGUGGUUUAGCAAAUGGGACCAAGCCAAGAAAGCUUGUCAAUGGUUUGCGAAAGAGAAGUGAAGCUGCAAGUGAUAGAGAUAGAAAUGGUGGAUCAUCUACUGGAAUUUUUAAGGAGGAAAAUUGUACUGGUCGUGGUGACCUAUCUAGGUCCAGAGAAACAAUGAAAGCUGGGAAGAAAAGGAAAAAUGCAUUUGACGUUAAAUUGGAUUCUCCAGAUACUCUUAAAUCAGACAAUAAUGAUAAUACUGGGGAAAAAGAUAGCAAUAUGAUAAAAGUCAAAACAAGUCUUGAGGUAAAAAAUGAGUUGCCUGAGUUCUCGGUUGAUUCCAAGGAUGGCGAUGGUAAAAGUUCUAGUAUGCGGAAGAAGAUGCAACUUCAUGCAACCUAUACGUUAGGGGCAAAUGAAUCUUUACAUGCUACCAAGAAGUUGAAACGCACGGAUACCAAAGAUGAUUCAACUUUGGGAUAUCCUUCAAAAGUUCUGAAAAAAACUUCACCUGGUUCUACAGUUAUUGAAGAGAGACCAUUUAAGAAGUCAGAAUUGAAGAAGUCUACACCAAAUUUGAAAACAGAAAAAAGCUUGUCAUCAAGGGGUAAAAUAAGUGGUGCAGUUUCAGAUGAUUCUGUCCAUGAGCUGCUAUCAGCGACUAGACAUCAUAUUCAGGUUCAAAAAGUUACGCCUGAUUCUUCAGUCAUUGCAUCUGAGGAAAAGAAAGAAAGGAAUUAUCUCAGACUGAAAGGUGAUACAAGUAAUGUUAUGGUAAAACAAGUAGAGAGGAAACGUAGAGCUGUUUGUCUUUUUGAUGAUGAUGACGAUGAACCUAAAACUCCUGUUCAUGGAGCAGCUGGAAAAAAUGUUAAAUCAUCUUCUGUUUCAGAUGCCAAGAGGAGCAACAAUGCACACUCAGAGAAGUCUGAUGUUCCGCUGGCUCAAGGAAGUUCUAGUGAGCGUGAGGAUAGCCAUUUGAAAGAGCCAUCAUCUCAAUUAUAUAACGAAAGUUUGUCAAUCAAGCAGCCUCUAAAAGAGAAAGAUAGAGAGAAAGAUGAUGAAGUCAUUCCUGUGCAUAUUCCUCAUAGUCCUGAAAAUUUAGAUUUGAAGCAGCUUCCCUCCAAUGCAGCAAAAUUGAGCUCUAUCUCUCCCCUGAAAUCACCUCAAUUGGUACCUGCAAAUAAGUCAAGUGCUGAGCGGAAUAAAGCUUCAAAGCUGUCACUUAAAGUUUCCGGUAAUGCUACUCAAAAGAGGGUUGAUCAUGCGCCUUCAAAGUAUUCACAUAACCUGAGCUCUUCUCAGAAUCAAGUUGCUACACAUAAAAAGAAGCCUGCAUCAUUGGCGGAAAUUUCUAAAACUACACCUGAGACAUUGCCUCAGGCAGUUGAAGUUCCUGUUUCAACAAUUGGUUUUAAGGAUACUGAUGCUCUACAUGUUGAUAGAUUGGAGGUAAGCACAGAAGAGAAAAGUACUAUGAAGCAUCUUAUUGCUGCUGCCCUGGCGAAAAGGAAACAGGCUCAUUCACAGUUUCUUCCAUCUGGCUUUCCCAAUGUUCAGGGGGAAACUCCUAGCCCGUCUACAGUUCAGCCAUUUCUGUCUGUCUCGAGCAAUUUUCUGCAUGCAGACAUGCAAGGAGUUUAUGAGCACACAUCAUUGGCUUCUCCACCCGCUAAAGAACAUCAUUCUGCUUCUCAUAAUCAACUUGAUGCUGAUGAAAUUGAGGAUAGAAGAGUUGAUUCAGGGCAAAGGGGUCUAGGUGGCUCACUGAGUGGUGGUACUGAGGCUGCUGUUGCUCGGGAUGCAUUUGAAGGAAUGAUUGAAACAUUGUCAAGGACCAAGGAAAGUAUUGGCCGUGCAACCCGUCUUGCCAUUGACUGUGCCAAGUAUGGUAUUGCCAACGAGGUUGUUGAACUUCUCAUACGAAAGCUGGAAAAUGAACCUAGUUUUCAUCGCAAAGUGGAUUUGUUUUUUCUUGUUGAUUCUAUCACCCAGUGCUCACAUAAUCAAAAAGGCAUUGCAGGAGCAUCCUACAUUCCCACUGUUCAGGCAGCAUUGCCACGUCUUCUUGGUGCUGCUGCUCCCCCUGGAGCUAGUGCCCGUGAAAAUCGUCGUCAGUGUCUCAAGGUUUUGAGGUUGUGGCUUGAGAGGAAAAUUUUUCCUGAAUCAGUUCUUCGCGGUUACAUGGAUGAUAUUGGAGUCUCAAAUGAUGAUAUUACAGUUAGUUUUGCUCUUAGACGUCCAUCUCGGGCAGAACGAGCUGUGGAUGACCCUAUUAGAGAAAUGGAAGGCAUGCUUGUUGAUGAGUAUGGAAGUAAUGCAACAUUUCAGCUGCCUGGCUUUUUAUCUUCACAUGCAUUUGAAGAAGAUGAAGACGAAUAUGAAGAUGAUAUACCAAUCAAAUUGUGUAAGGAGACAUUUGAUGCAUCUCCAGCAGAUCCCACCCAUACCCUUGGAGAAUCAGAAACUUCUACUGUUACCCCAAAUGACAAGCGCCACUGUAUCUUAAAGGAUGUGGAUCGUGAGCUGGAAAUGGAAGAUGUUUCAGGUCAUCCCAAGGAUGAAAGGCCAAUAAUUUUUAACAGUUCUGAUGAAAUUGAUUUGCAACUUCAGGUGUCAGAUAGAAAUUUGGAUCUGACUCCAAGCAUUUCAAAAGAAAUGUCAGCUACUCCUGAGGGUUCUCCUCCUUUGCCCCUUGAUUCACCUCCUCCACCCCCACCUUUGCCUUCAUCACCACCGCCCCCUCCUCCUCCAUUAUCACCAUCUCCUCCCCCACCCCCACCACCCCCAAUGCUACAACCCCCACCUCCUCCUUUACCACCAUCAGCCCCUCCAGUGUCCUUGGUUCCUCAAUCGUCUGUACCAGCUCGGCCACUUCUGUCCCAACCAUUAAUGCCAUCUCAGUCAUCACAUCAGUCAUCCCCACAGUUGGGGUAUCAGCAGAGUGUACCUCAUGACUUUAGUGGCACUAAUAAUGGUAACCAAAUAGUUCCAAUGGCUGGGAAUUCUUUUCCUGGAAGUCACAAUAAUGCAGCUGCCAAAAAUGAAAUAUUUCCACAGCCUCCUUCUUAUGCUCCAACAGCAGGUUGUAGCUCCCAGGAACCUUCUGGUUUUAACCCUUCAAGGCAAUUAGAGUACGGACAGAAUGAUAUGUAUCUAAAUGCUCAAGUUCCUCAACCUAACCAUCAAUUUCAGCAGGGUAAUCCCCCAUAUGCACAAAGACACACACACCCUGGCCCACCCCAAAAUCCACCAAAUCCGUAUCCAUAUUCAAAUCCUACAGUUCAGCAACAUCUUCCACAUUCAUUCCAUCCUCCCUUCCCUUUACCAUCUCUUCCUGAUGGCAGGAGACAAUUUGUUACUGAUGAGCAAUGGCGAAUGCCAUCUAGUGAAUAUAAAACAAACAAUCAACAUAGUGUAUGGAGAGGGAGAAAUCCAUCAUGUCCUGGUCCACCUUAUGGGCAAGAAGGUCAUUUUCAGCCACCAUUUGAAAGGACACCAGUAACCACUGUAGGUUUUCAGCGACCAAUUUCAAGCAACCUACCUGUUGCUCCAAUCUCAGGACACGUUGUGCCUCAGAUGAUGCCCUGUAGGCCGGACAUUCCUUCUGUUAAUUGUUGGAGACCCACUUGAAGUUGAAUGGAGUCUUCUUUUUAGUUUUAGUGGUGUUGCUGGUGGAUCAACAUGAAAGGUUAAAUUGUGCCACAAAGUUAGAUUCGCCUGUGUAGUACAUACAACUUACCCAUGAAGAAAUUUUGAAAACUCGAGGAGGCCUUUGACAGGAUUGUGUAUAUUGUAAUUUUUCCUGACAAUGUAUCCCAGGAACAUUUGCUUACAAGUUUAGCCCAUGUUUUUCACUUGGUUUUGUUAAUACCAAAGAAGAUGGUGAUCAUUUUUUCAUGUUUUGAAUGUGAUAACUGAACAAAGAUUACAGUGCAACUUCUCAUAAAGACUGCUGAUUAUUGAGUGUGUACAGAAAGUUGCAAGUCCAAGGGGACGGUCUCAAAUUCGCUGUACAGAAAAGAGGUGUUUUGGACUCAUAAACAUUCUUGAGAGGGUGUUUAGGCAUGUUUCAUAGCCGCUAUAUUUUAAAAGAUUCAAGCAACCUAAAUUUGAGGGCAAAACCUGUAUUUGGGAGCUAAGAAGCCAUUACAAGAAGAAUUGUGGACCUUCAACAAAAAGUUUACGGUAAAAAUAUCUACAUUUAAACUAUGAUUUUUACCUCAACCCAUUGGUGUGAAAGCCAAAGGUCCGAGAACCUUAGAAAGGGCAACAGAACUGGUUUGAUCACUAACUACAUAUACAAAUCAAAUGCAGUUGUAAUCCUUUUGCAAGCCAUCACAGAUAAGUUUCGCAAUGGCUGCAGCUGAAAUGGUAUGCAAAAUUGGUUUUAAACUGCACCUUGAAGUUGGCUCAACCCAUGAUUUUGACAUGAAUUUGCUUCCAUUAUACUAAAUUAGCACUCUGCUUAAACCACUUGUUUGGAAUAAGGUGUGAAGGCUAAUCGGCUAGAAGAUUUCUGCCUCUGAGCUAGGCCUAGACCAUUUGCUGAUCUUGUAGAAAACCCACCAUUGCUACUACUAUCCUGCUUCAAGAGCAACUCUGGAAUAUGCUGAAGGUUAACUUCAGAUUUAUGAUUCCUCCUGAUAAGUGUAGCCUUCCUUUUAUCAAGGUUACUUUUCCUGUCUGCUAUACCUUCCAUAACAUCAGACCUCACCUCACUACCAGUGGCCAGACUAAAAGCAUUUCGGUAGUGACUGAGAGUUUUGCGGGACAAAGGUUUAGCUCCGUAAUGACCCUGCAAAGAGCGCAUCACUGGGGAGAGCUUCGGCUCCGAGGACUUCCUUCUCAGCGGCUGGAAUGAUUCAAACAGUUCACAGCUUGUACUAUCAGCUGGACUGUUGUUCUCUGUCUCAUCUUGUCUGAAGGAAUAACAAUUUUUAUGCUCAUCACUGAAUUAAAUGCUCAUUACAAGUAAUCAUAUUCAAGGAGAUUCUAUAUUUUAUUUAAUCCAAAUAGAAAACUUGUAUAUUUGUAACCUGUAACCAUAGUUAAAAUAACAUAGCCCCUUUGCAUA